Nothobranchius furzeri (turquoise killifish) is the source of this 9609-nucleotide non-coding RNA. The record is from RefSeq and is a predicted model, not a curated record. Lineage: Eukaryota; Metazoa; Chordata; Actinopteri; Cyprinodontiformes; Nothobranchiidae.
CCGCUCAGGCUCCUCUUUAGCUCAUUCACUUGUCAGAAUAGUUUCGACCACUUUACCGCUGAUGGAGGCGGUCACAUGGUGAUUAUUUGUCAUCUAUUUUCACACCAUGACAGCUUUUAGACAGUCAAAAUUUGUAUUAAAAUGAUUUAUUUAUCAGUUUCCUGAUAAUUUGUACUAAACAUCCUACAAUGUACUAAUAAAUAUGUCUUUAUUGUUUAUUUCUUUAAAAUUCUUUGUUUGAAAGUUCAACAACAUCCAAAAACAAUGGUUCCCAAUCCCAGGGUCAGGGCUCCAAUCCGAAUCAUCAAACACUGGUGAGGACAGUCAGAUAAUAAUUAAACAAGGCCUGGGACGAUAACAAAUUUUGCUGGACGAUAUAUUGUCCAACAAAUUAUUGACAAUAAACGAUAUUAUUGUGGACAUUACUGAGACCAAAAGAACCACUUAUGUAAUGUUAAUCUCAUAAUUAUGCAAGAACACCCUUUAAAAUGUGUCAAUUAAACCUUUAUUCAACAUUGGAAUGCCCAGACCCAGAACUUCUAAAUAAAUAAAUAAAACAAACAAAUAAAUAAAUGAAAAAGGACUUUCACUCUAUGUUAGAAAAUAUUGCAACAAAACAAUAAAAUAGAUCUUGUCUCUUCAAAACAAUAAAUAAAAUGGCCUAUCCAGUGUCAACCAAAACUGUAACCAUAAUGAUAAAUAAUAAUAAUAAUAAUAAUAGAGUUGUACAUGUCUUAACUUCGAUAUAUUGAGGCUGGAAAAAUUGAGUAAAUUUUCAUUGAUUAAUUGAUUUAUUGGUUAUUGUCCCAGCCCUAAAUGUAAUCAUUAAAAUAGUUGUUAUAAAGGUAUAGAAAGACUCACAGUUAUUUAGGUAAAGCCCAUCUUCAUUUGAAUGGAUUCAAGUUUUUUUUUUCAAUUCAAGUUUAUUCAUAAAGCGCGAAAUCACGACAAGAGUCGUCUCAAGGACCUUCACACGGUAAACAUUCCAGUCCAGGUCAGUUCAUUAAGCCAAUCAGAAAAAAGUUUAAGCAGCUAAGCAGCCAUCCACCACAACUCACUGGGGAUCAAGAAGACAGAGCACACACACACACACACACACACACACACACACACACACACACACACACACACACACACACACACACACACACACACAAAGACAAGUAAUGUGUAUAGUUAUAUUGUGAUUACAUAGUAAAUAUUCUAUUUGGUGAAAGAUAAACUUUAUUGUAUUUAUCCUAGUGAAUCUAUAAUUAAACAGGUAAACUAGUAGUAGCACAUCCAACGUCAAGGAAAGCAAAAAGUUAUUAUCAGGAGAGGGAGAAUGUUUAAGCAGCAGUGUGCUAGACGAUGGCUCCCUCCAUGAGGCCACCACAGCUCAGCAGAACAUCGUUGUAGCUUCUUCUGGGGAGAAAAACACUUAGAGAGAAAAUAAAGUUAACAGCUGAAAUUGCAGAAAAUAAUACAGUUAAAGAGCAGACUGUAGAAGAAAGUUAGCCUGGUGAACUAGACCAAAUUCUUGCUUUGCAAAGUUUGUAGGAAUGCUCCACUGGAACUUCUGCAGCCCCAACAGCAUUCUGGCUGGCCAAUCACAGUUCUCUAGAGGGGUUUCAAACACAUAAAGAGCUGUGAUUGGUCCAUAAUGGUGGGCCAAUCAUAGUGCUCUAUCUGCUUAGUGAACAAAUCACAGAGCUUUAUCCGCUUUGUGGGCCAAUCAGGGCACUCUAUAUGCCUGGUGGGUGGGAUGAUGCAACAGAAUGAAGCAAGAGUAUGUCACAUUCAUUGUCCAGUGGAAUGUGGAGAUCAUUUGAAAGACAACGGUAGAUCCCACCCCACAACCGAGAGCCGUCCAUGGAGCGUGGCCAGACUAAAUAAAACAUUUAUUUAGUCUGGCUUGCCAGGCUAGAAGAAAGUUGUAGAGUGUGAAAAGUGGUCAGUGAAUCCUCCAGCACUCUAAAGCCGGGUGUACACUGUGCAACUUUUUCACUUUUUUGAGCCGAUUUUCCACUCCUGCGAGAAUCCACAAGAUCGGGGCGAGUUUUGCGCCGAGAUGUCGUGUAGUAUACGGGGGUUACGAGAGGCGAUUAACACCACGUGACCAGCUACCGAUCAGCAAUUUUGAGCUCGCUCAGACUUCUGGCGUGUUUAAUAUUUUGCUCGUCCCUCGUGAGGGUAUCGCACUGUUGAAGCGGCGCUGCGAGCAGCUGCGACCCAAAAAGUAUCAGAACCGCUCACGACGCAUGCGCAAUCCUGCAUCAACACCGCCCGCUCGCUAUUUCCCUAAUAACACACGCUGUUCGUUUUAAUUUCUACACGUUUUAUUACUCACAAGGAUUGUCAAGAAAGCGUGUUUGUCUUGUUCAUGUCAAAUUAAACUGACCACAAAACACAGAUUUACUUUAUUUCAUUUUCCUCAUCCAACCCCCAUAAAUCCCUGUGUGUCCUCCUGCAGCACUCCCGAAGGACAACAGGCAAGACAGGACAAAAAAGUCUGACGUGUUGAGUAAAAACUGCUAUUUUUAGCAUAUUUUUAGGGCCGACAUGUUGCUACCAGACCUACAGUGUGAGCGCCUGGCUCGUGAGAUCUGCCCUGCGAGGAAGUCGUACAGUUUGAGCUGAAGCUGAGUGCUAUGAGUGAAAAAGUCGCACAGUGUCCGCCCGGCUUAAGCCUAUAGCAGCAUAACUACAGAGAUAACUCUGAAUAACCUAGCCUUUUAGAUGGAGGCAUGUUGGAGGCAGGGCAAGAGAGAGCCGUCUUUACCGACAGAAGAAGAAGAAGAAAAUAUCAUUUCUAUAGCGCCUCUCAAGAUAAAAAUCACGAGGCGCUACACAAAAACAAAAAAUGUAAAAAUAUAAAAAAGCAUUUAGAAAAUGUUUAAAAAUAUAUUUAAAAUGAGCAAAAAUAGACAAUUGUGAUUAAAAAGAAAAAAUGUUAAGAAAGAGAGAGAGUGAACAGGAAAAAGGGAAAAUCAGUGGAUCCUGAGGAAGGUGGAAUAGGUGGGGAGAGCAGAAUAAAGAGAGAGUGGUGAAGAAGGUCAUACAAAAGCCAGCUUGAACAGGUGAGUCUUCAGCUGCUUUUUAAAGGAGACCACUGAGUCCACUGAUCUCAGGCUCAGGGGGAGAGAGGUCCAGAGUCUGGGGGCCACAGCAGCAGAUGAUCUGUCACCUUUGGUCUUUAGCCUGGUGCUGCACAACCAGUAGGCUUUGAUCACUGGACCUCAGGGACCUGCUGGGGGUGUAGGGACUAAGAAGAUCACCAAUGUAAGAUGGUGCUUGUCCAUGUAAGGCCCUAUAGACCAGAACCAGGAUCUUGAAAUUAACCCUGAAGGUGACUGGCAGCCAGUGAAGCUGGAGGAGAAACGGGGUGAUGUGGGUGUAUUUGGAGGACUUGGUCAGAAGCCGAGCACAGGCGUUCUGAACCACCUGUAGACGGUUCAGGGAGGUUCUGCUCAGACACGUGAAAAGAGAGUUACAGUAGUCUUAAGCCUGGUUUAUGCUUCUCCGUCAGCUCCGCAAGGGACAGACACGCACGGAUUGACGGAAGCGUUUUGCUCUCAUACUUCUCCGUCUCCUGGAGAGUGUUGCAAAGCAACUGCCCGGCAGGACAACAGAGGGCGUAGCGCUGUUCUGUGGCAUCCUGUCAUGUAUCGGUCCAAGAUCGUGUGUUUAUAUUGUGUUUUUGUGUAUAUAAGAGACUUUUAACACGGACAUAUUUGUCUCUCAUUCUCCCACCGCUUCAUGCGCUCCCCACCUCUAAACCCACGUUUCCUGUCAUUUCCGUCCACAAAUAAGACGCUUGCUGCGCAUCUUUUCACUCCUCCAGUCACGGGAGAAUUAAACGUUCAUAUUUUUAGAGUUUUUUCGCGAGAUAUUCUUCAAGCUUCUCCGUGUCUGCCGCUUGUUAUCCUCGGCUCUCUUUGCAAUGGCGGCGCUGUAAACAACAGCGGUGUCCUGACCAAUCACAAGCUUGCGUAAUCCGUCUCGUUUGACGGAUGUUUAAAAAAGUGGGCUCGACUCCGUACGUACGUGCGUGCCGUACGCAAGGACGAAUAAUGGCGUUGCGUGUCUCCGCACUGACGCAGACGGAGAAGCAUAAAUCAGGCUUAAGCGUGAGGAGAUGAAGGUGUGGAGAACUGUCUCAAGUUCAGAGCGGGACAGAAUGGGACUCAGCUUAGCAAUGUUCCUGAGAUGGAAGAAGGAAGAGCGAACAAGAGAACUGACAUGAGAAUCCAGGGUGAGAGCUGGGUCAAAGGUCACGCCAAGAUUCCUGACGGAAGGUUUGUUGUGAGAGGCAAGCUGACCAAGAGAGUCUCUGACUUUGGGAACCAGCUUGUCUGGGGCACAGAUGAGGAUCUCAGUCUUAUCUUCAUUCAGCUGAAGAAAGCUCCCACCAUCCAGGUUUUGAUAGAGUCUAAGCAGGUCUGUAACAGCUGAAGCUUAGACAUCUCAUGGGGCUUAAAGGAGAUGUACAGUUGGAUGUCAUCUGCAUAAAGAUGAUAGGAGAUUCCUUUGAAGGAGCUCAGGAUGUGCUGAAGAGGAAGCAGAUAGAGGAGGAAGAGCAGAGGCCCCAGCACAGAACCUUGUGGGACACCAUGGGUAAGGGAGGUGGUGGAGGACCUAAACUUGGAGACGGCCACGGAAAAGGAGCGCUCAGAGAGAUAAGAGGAGAACCACUCCAGAGCAGAUCCUGAUAGGCCUACCCAGUCUUUCAGCCUCUCCAGUAGCAGGUGAUGGUCAACAGUGUCAAAGGCUGCAGUCAGGUCCAGCAGGACCAGAACAGAACAGUCCCCUGCAUCACUGUGAGUCAGAAGGUCAUAGAGACCCUAAGAAGAGCUGUUUCAGUAGAAUGAGCUCUACAAAAACCUGUCUGGAAGCUAUCAUAGAUGUUAUGUUCAUCAAGAACAGCUGUGAGUUGUUUAGCCACAACCUUUUCCAAGAUCUUGGAGAUGAACGGAAGUUUAGAGAUGGGUCUGAAGCUGCUAUGGAGAGAGGGGUCGAGACUCGGUUUUUUAAGAAGCGGGUGGAUUACAGCGUUCUUAAAGUAAGCAGGGACCUGACCAGAGACCAGAGAAGCAUUAAUUAUAGAGAGCACGCUGGGACCGAUGGACUGAAAAGCACUUUUAAACAAAGAUGAGGGUAAGAUGUGGAGGGGGCAUGCAGAGGUCUUCAUAGAGUUAACUAGUUUGGUUAACUCAGGCAAAGAAACAGGAGCAAAGCUAUCUAGGAUGAUGGGCCUGGUUGGAGUCGGGAGAGGCAGCGAUAAGGCUGAAGGAGAGAUGCUAGAUCUAACCUUAUUGACUUUGUCCACAAAGAAAGACAGAAAGUUCUCACAGUCUGCAACAGAGUGGAUGGAGGCUGUAGGAGAGGCAGGAGAGACGAUGCUGCUGAUGGUGUUAAACAGCACCUUGGGGUUCCCUUUGCUCUGGGACACCAGGUUGGAGAAUUAGGAAACCCUAGCGUCUCUGACUGCAGAGUUAAAGGAUGUCAGAAGAUCCUUUAGGUGCAGCAGAUGGACGUGGAGAUGGGUUUUCUUCCACAAACGCUCAAUUUUUCUGCAUUGGCGCUUCAGGCUGCGAAGGCUGUCAUUAAACCAGGGAGUAGGGUUCACUGCAGGAACUGAUCUGGUUCUGAAAGGACAGAUGUUGUCCAGAAUGGAGAGGCAGUGCUCGUUGAACUGAGAUGUUAAGGAAUCUGGGUUGUUAUCAGAAGAACACGGUGGAUCAAAAGCAGCAGAAAAAUUGCUAGCUGUGCUCUCAUUAAGAAAACGAGAACUAACCAUACGGCGAGCAAAAUAUAUAAUAUAUUAAUAUAUAAGACAUACAACAUCCAGGUAAGAUCCUUUAGGUGCAGCAGAUGGACGUGGAGAUGAGUUUUCUUCCACAAACGCUCAAUUUUUCUGCAAAUUGGACUGUACACUCCACCUCCCUCUACUCCCCCACUUGUCCAGAUUUAGGCUAACAUCAGAUUUUAACUAUAGGCCCUAUCAAAUAAAAAUGUUUUAAGCCUAGUCUUAAAAGUAGACAAGGUGUCUGCCUGACGGACUAAAGCUGGGAGCUCAGUGUUUCCCUUAGGAAUUUUUUCAACGGUGGUGGGGGAAGGGGGUGGGUGGGAAUUAUGACACGUCUCACCUUCAUGUUAACAUUGUUGUGUUUGAUGCACUCCACUUUAAUUUGCACAAUAUACACCAAUAUUUGCACAAUAAUAUUUUCUGUUUUAAACUCUGUGACACACUUUGCAGGGGGGAUUUGGUAUUAAAUUUUUCUUGGCGUCUGGAAAAACAUCUCUUUUUGCCCCCCUUUUUUUGACUUUCUGCACCCUUUAUUUUGGUCCAAGAUCUUUACUGGGCUGGCCCUAUCAAAAACGUUCUACACCCCUGCUUAGUAGACUUCAUGAAGUAUUUUUAAGCCAGUAUAAAAAUGACUGAAACACAAAUUUACAUAUUUGGCAUUAUUGACCAAUAUAUGUGAUCUAAUUUAUUUGUUAAGAACAUCAAGAUGCAUUACAGUGAACAUUAUAAUAAAGCCGGGCGGACACUGUGCGACUUUUUCACUCGUAACACAGCUUCAGCUCAAACUGUACGACUUCCUCGCAGGGCAGAUCUCACGAGUCAUGUGCUCACACUGUACGAUCCAGUUCUCGGAUGCGACCUGACUGCUCACACUGUAGGUCUGGUAGCAACACGUCGGACCUAAAAAUAUGCUACAUGUAGACGUUUUUACUCAACACGUCAGACUUUUUUGUCUUGUUUUGCCUGUUGUCCUUCGGGAGUGCUGCAGGAGGACACACAGGGAUUUAUGGGGUUGGAUGAGGAAAACGAAAUAAAGAAAGUAAAUCUGUGUUUUGUGGUCAGUUUAAUUUGACAUGAACACGACAAACACGCUUUCUUGACAAUCCUUGUGAGUAAAAAAAAAUGUGUAGAAACAAAAACGAACAGCGUGUGUUAUUAGGGAAAUAGCAAGCAAGCGGUGUUGAUGCAGGAUUGCGCAUGUGCCGUGAGCGGUUCUGAUACUUUUUGGGUCGCAGCUGCUCGCAGCGCCGCUUCAACGAUGCGAUACCCUCACGAAGGACGAGCAAAAUUUCAAACACGCCAGAAGUUUGGGCGAGCUCACGAUUGCUGAUCAGUAGCUGGUCACAUGGUGUUAAUCGCCUCUCGCAACCCCCUGUACACUACAUGAUGCUCAGCGCAAAAUGCGCCCCGAUCUCGUGGAUUCUUGCACGAGUGGAAAGUCGGCUCAAAAAAGUGAAAAAGUCGCACAGUGUAUGCCUGGCUUAAGCUGGGCGGACACUGUGCGACUUUUUCACUUGUAACACUCAGCUUCAGCUCAAACUGUACGACUUCCUCGCAGGGCAGAUCUCACGAGUCAUGUGCUCACACUGUACGUCUGGUAGCAACACGUCGGACCUAAAAAUAUGCUAAAAAUAGCAGUUUUUACUCAACACAUCAGACUUUUUUGUCUUAUUUUGCCUGUUGUCCUUCAGGAGCGCUGCAGGAGGACACGCAGGGAUUUAUGGGGGUUGGAUGAGGAAAACGAAAUAAAGAAAGUAAAUCUGUGUUUUGUGAUCAGUUUAAUUUGACAUGAACACGAUAAACACGCUUUCUUGACAAUCCUUGUGAGUAAAAAAAACAUGUAGAAAUAAAAACGAACGUGUGUUAUUAGGGAAAUAGCGGGUGAGUGGUGUUGAUGCAUGAUUGCGCAUGCGCGGUUCUGGUAUUUUUUGGGUCGCAGCGCUGCUUCAACCUUCACGAGGAACGAGCAAAAUAUCCAACACUCCAGAAGUCCGUGCGAACUCACGACUGCUGAUCGGUAGCUGGUCACGUGGUGUUAAUCGCCUCUCGUAACCCCCUGUACACUACACGACGCUCAGCGCAAAACUUGCCCCGAUCUUGUGGAUUCUCGCACGAGUGGAAAAUCGGCUCAAAAAAGUGAAAAAGUCGCACAGUGUACGCCCGGCUUGUCUGUGUGUGUGCGUGGAUGCCUGUGCCGGCCGAGCUAACUGAGCUUGCGGCUGCAGAGGUUUGUGUGUAGGGAGGGGCGGGCGCUCUAUGUGACUGGCCAAUCAAAGAGCGUGAAGACAGUCAGUUACUCAAUGAGGAUUUUCCUUCAGCACGAUUACAGAUUCAUGCUCGUAUUAGUCAAAAAUGCUUUAUCCGUACGCUCAUCCCUGUGUGGUGGUGGGUUUCAGGAGGCAGAAGAGCAGGCAACGGAUGAAAAAAUAAAAAUAUUGUUUAAUUGUAGAACGGGAGCGACAGGACAAACGAACAUGCACAAAACGACAAUGAUCCAACGAAGACAGCAACAAGGAGGGAGGUAUAAAUACACAAGGGAAUCAGGAACACAUGGGCAGAGUAAUGAGGGACAGGUGAGAACAAUAAGGGUAAUCAAGGCAGGAGAGACACAGUCAGGGAGGCCAGGGUGGAUCAUGACAGUACCCCCCCCCCCCCCCCUUUAAGGGGCGGAUACCAGACGCCCACAAGGCACACAGCACAGGAGACUCAGGAACGAACGAAGACUAGACUCGGGUACACAUGACCAGGGAACACAGAAGACGUGACCAGGGAACAAAGGACUCAGUCCGGGGCUGCGGAGCAGGGGCCUCUGGGAUCAGGCGGCACAACUCCGACUUACAAAGACUCCAUGUACUCAGUCCGGGGCUGCGGAGCAGGGGCCUCUUGGAUCAGGCGGCACAACUCUGACUUACAAAAGUCUCCACAAACUCAGACAAGGGUCGCGGAGCAGGGGCCUCUCGGAUCAGGCGGCACAACUCCGAACCAUGAAGGGACUCUCGAGCUCGGACCAGGAAACUCGGACUCGAAGACUUGACUUGGGACGGACCAGGAAACUUGAACACUCGGGACCAGGAAAUUCAAACACUUGGGAUAGAGCUGAAACAACUAAUCGAUUUAAUCGAUUAUAAUCGAUUAUUAAAAUAGUUAACAACUUUUUUAGUCAUCGAUUAGUUGUUUAAUAAUCAUAUUUUACCGCAUAAAGUCUAUUUUUUACCACAAUCUGACAUCGGUUACAAUCUGUUAAAUUUGCCGCCAGUGUGUGGCAGUAAUGAGCCACUGAUCUACCAGUGGGGCCGUAGAAGAAGAAAUUAGCCAAUAAGUGCCCUCGGUUUUCAUGACGUAUCACGUUACUGACGCGCAUCUUGCUGUGAGAGAUGGCGGAUCAACAACAAAUACGGAAGAAAAAUAGAAGCGACAAAACAAGAGAAACCCCGGACAAAAACCUCACGAGUAUGGGAGCACUUCACUAGAUGCCUUGAAAAGACCGGUGACCUACAAAAUAUGCAAAAACCAUGGCACGACGGAAGCACGACGUCCCUAAGUGAACAUUUGAGAUGAAAACAUGGGGGCUGAUGCAGCAGAGGAAAGUCCGAAAAAAACAAGCAACGAUGGACAACUACAUGGGGAACAAGACACUCACCCCCAGCAAUGCAUACCACUUACAAACUCUAUUCCAGAUUCUACAUUAUUUUUUAUGGAAUUUACCUCUUAUAUUUUGAUGCCAAAAAAUUAUUCUGGACUGAUAUUUUGCACUGUUUAGCUCAUUUUACACUGCUGACUGUGGUCAUGUGCAAUAAAAUAGAUUGCAGUCAACUGCACAA